RNAcentral lists this ribosomal RNA (449 nucleotides) under uncultured bacterium. RNAcentral's name for it is "SSU rRNA". It matches the Rfam family "Bacterial small subunit ribosomal RNA", at positions 26 to 518 of the family's 1533-position model. The record is from RNAcentral.
AGAACGAACGCUGGCGGCAGGCUUAACACAUGCAAGUCGAACGCGUGUAGCAAUACACGAGUGGCGCACGGGUGAGUAACGCGUGGAUAUCUGCCUUUUGGUUCGGAAUAACCCCGGGAAACUGGGGCUAAUACCGGAUGGUUCCUACGGGAUAAAGAUUUAUCGCCAAAAGAUGAGUCCGCGUACGAUUAGCUAGUUGGUGAGGUAAUGGCUCACCAAGGCGACGAUCGUUAGCUGGUCUGAGAGGACGAUCAGCCACACUGGGACUGAGACACGGCCCAGACUCCUACGGGAGGCAGCAGUGGGGAAUAUUGGACAAUGGGGGCAACCCUGAUCCAGCCAUGCCGCGUGAGUGAUGAAGGCCUUCGGGUUGUAAAGCUCGUUUUGGCGGGGACGAUGAUGACGGUACCCGCAGAAUAAGCCCCGGCUAACUUCGCGCCAGCAGCCGC